RNAcentral lists this ribosomal RNA (253 nucleotides) under uncultured bacterium. RNAcentral describes it as "partial 16S ribosomal RNA". It matches the Rfam family "Bacterial small subunit ribosomal RNA", at positions 524 to 776 of the family's 1533-position model. The record is from RNAcentral.
UACGAAGGGGGCUAGCGUUGUUCGGAUUUACUGGGCGUAAAGCGCGUGUAGGCGGGUCGUUAAGUUGGGGGUGAAAUCCCGAGGCUCAACCUCGGAACUGCCUUCAAAACUGGCGACCUGGAGCAAAGAAGAGGCGAGUGGAAUUCCCGGUGUAGAGGUGAAAUUCGUAGAUAUCGGGAGGAACACCGGUGGCGAAGGCGGCGACCUGGGUCGAGACUGACGCUGAGGCGCGAAAGCGUGGGGAGCAAACAGG